UUCUUAAAAAUUUUUUAUAAAAUGUUUGUAGUAUAUACUAUUAGAUAUUAGUAAC
This 55-nucleotide transfer RNA is filed under the name Rotaria rotatoria. RNAcentral's name for it is "tRNA-Thr". The record is from RNAcentral. Lineage: Eukaryota; Metazoa; Rotifera; Eurotatoria; Philodinida; Philodinidae.